This 468-nucleotide ribosomal RNA is filed under the name uncultured bacterium. RNAcentral's name for it is "partial 16S ribosomal RNA". It matches the Rfam family "Bacterial small subunit ribosomal RNA", at positions 329 to 795 of the family's 1533-position model. The record is from RNAcentral.
UUCCAGACUCCUACGGGAGGCAGCAGUGAGGAAUAUUGGUCAAUGGGCGGGAGCCUGAACCAGCCAUGCCGCGUGAAGGCGAGUGCCCUACGGGCGUUAAACUUCUUUUGUGCGAGAGCAAUAAGGGCCACGUGUGGCCCGAUGAGAGUACCGCACGAAUAAGCAUCGGCUAACUACGUGCCAGCAGCCGCGGUAAUACGUAGGGAGCAAGCGUUAUCCGGAUUUAUUGGGUUUAAAGGGUGCGUAGGCGGAUUGAUAAGUUAGAGGUGAAAUGUCCGGGCUCAACUCGGGAACUGCCUCUAAUACUGUUGAUCUAGAGAGUAGAUGCGGUAGGCGGAAUGUAUGGUGUAGCGGUGAAAUGCUUAGAGAUCAUACAGAACACCGAUUGCGAAGGCAGCUUACCAAUCUAUAUCUGACGUUGAGGCACGAAAGCGUGGGGAGCAAACAGGAUUAGAUACCCUAGUAAAC